GUUAGAAUGACCGAGCGGUCCAAGGUGUCAGACUUAAGAUCUGAUGAUUUACGUCGCGUGGGUUCGAAAACUUAUCCCACUUCUAACA
RNAcentral lists this transfer RNA (88 nucleotides) under Cryptomonas paramaecium. Its description in RNAcentral is "Cryptomonas paramecium tRNA-Leu". It matches the Rfam family "tRNA". Rfam says of the family: Transfer RNA (tRNA) molecules are approximately 80 nucleotides in length. Their secondary structure includes four short double-helical elements and three loops (D, anti-codon, and T loops). The record is from RNAcentral. Lineage: Eukaryota; Cryptophyceae; Cryptomonadales; Cryptomonadaceae.